RNAcentral lists this ribosomal RNA (484 nucleotides) under uncultured bacterium. Its description in RNAcentral is "partial 16S ribosomal RNA". It matches the Rfam family "Bacterial small subunit ribosomal RNA", at positions 29 to 507 of the family's 1533-position model. The record is from RNAcentral.
AUUGAACGCUGGCGGCAUGCUUUACACAUGCAAGUCGAACGGCAGCGCGGGCUUCGGCCUGGCGGCGAGUGGCGAACGGGUGAGUAAUGCAUCGGAACGUGCCCAGUAGUGGGGGAUAGCCCGGCGAAAGCCGGAUUAAUACCGCAUACGACCUGAGGGUGAAAGCGGGGGACCGAAAGGCCUCGAGCUAUUGGAGCGGCCGAUGUCGGAUUAGCUAGUUGGUGGGGUAAAGGCUUACCAAGGCGACGAUCCGUAGCUGGUCUGAGAGGACGACCAGCCACACUGGGACUGAGACACGGCCCAGACUCCUACGGGAGGCAGCAGUGGGGAAUUUUGGACAAUGGGGGCAACCCUGAUCCAGCCAUGCCGCGUGCGGGAAGAAGGCCUUCGGGUUGUAAACCGCUUUUGUUCGGGAAGAAAUCCUCUGGGCUAAUACCCCGGGGGGAUGACGGUACCGGAAGAAUAAGCACCGGCUAACUACGUG